This 21695-nucleotide long non-coding RNA is filed under the name Spirodela polyrhiza (greater duckweed). RNAcentral describes it as "long non-coding RNA (SPOL_LNC000041)". Lineage: Eukaryota; Viridiplantae; Streptophyta; Magnoliopsida; Alismatales; Araceae. The record is from RNAcentral.
GUGCAUAUAUGCACAUAUGACUUUCUUUUCCCUCCCUCUUUAUGUGUUGCUAUUGUUCAGAGGCAUUAUCAUCUUAGGUCAUUCUCGUUAGAAAUUGAAGAGCCCUAGCUGCCUGAAAAAAAUUGUCCUCAACUUCUUUUGAGCGUUAGGUAUGUGAAAUGGGCGACAUACAUUGAUUUGUUUCUUCUUCCAGAGUCGUCCCUCAGAGUUUAUAUCUACUUUAAGUGCCUCAUCUUGAUGUCUAGGGCCCCGUAUCAAGUAUAUGUGCAGAUAUGUCACCUUCAUUGAUAAUUUACCCAAAACAGCACCGAAGUUCCUGAUCCAUCCAAAUCUGGGACGUAAAAACUCACAAAUUUUAUUGAUGUUUUGCAUUGACAAUGAUCUCGAAUGCUUAGAAAUUACUAGAUUUUUUUUCCACAUCUCCAGGCAUUUUUUUAUCAAGAGAAAAGUGCAACAGCUUCUUGAUGUGGCGCACACCACUAUAAUGCAUAUGCAUGUACGAAAAUCCUAUUAAGGCGACGUUGCCCUUUAUUGCUUCUUAUUUCAUUAAACAAACAGUGCCUUUCUUGGUUCCAUAUGUACUUAAAAAGUGAAAUAAUGUGCCGAUCAGACAAGUUGUAAGUAUGUUGUUGCUAUCCUUUUUGACAGCACUCCAUAAUUCCCCGAGGGUGACCAUGAUUUCACUCCUAAUAUGAUUUCCAUUCUGUCAUCACUUCCUGUUUUUUUUUUUGUCCUCUACUUUUUAACAAUUUUGAACAAGUUUUUCGUCAAUGAAACAAAAACUCGGGAAUUACUUGAGAUCUCCUUGCCAUCUCUUGGUGAUACCUUCUUUGAGACUUCUCCAAAGAUACUCUGAGAAUGGACAUUAUUCUCUCUCCUAUCAAGUUUUCCGUUCCAAUUUUUGUCUACCACUUAUAGCCUAUUACAUUAGAUUAUAAAAUGGAAUAAACCAAACGAUUCCUGGGUCAUGUACAUUCCUCUUGAGGACUUAUUUUCCAUCUACUCUCCCAUAUCGUAAAGGCACAUAAACCCCAAUUGAAAAGCCUAUCAAAGAAACCUGAGAAAACACAUAAUCUCACUUGAUUGUCCAAAACCACAGAAUGAGCCGUGCUUAACCAAGGUAUGGCUCCACAUAAAGUUCCUUCACUUUGAAUAGAUUUACCUAAUCUGAAAUAGCCCACCUGAGAGAUACCAGAUACCCUGGCAGAUACUUUGUUUCCAAAGAUAAAAUACUCAUGCCAAGAAAAAUGGCACAUUGCCUACCAGAGAGUUAGUGCAAACAAACUUCCAAUAAUAAGGGCAUAAUGCCACCCAAUCUAACCGGAAUGUAUAUUAUAUUCAAACUAUCUUACAGUGAAUCGAUCACUACAUGUCAAUUAGUCUUUGAAAUAUAGAAAAAAACUAUACCUUUAAUGUCAAUAGUCUGACCAGAGUGUUUCAAUGAUAGAAGAUUAAUAUUCAUAAAUAGAACAAUGACAGAGACCGCAGUUCACAACCACAACAUCAGCACCCCUAAUCUAGCAGCGUAAGAUGGCUUGCUUUUGUAAAGCUUUUCCAACGAGAAUACGAAGGGGAGAGAGAGAGAGAGAGAGAGAGCGAGAGAGAGAGAGUAUGACUUAAUCUCAAGUAAUAAUAAGCACAACUCUAAAUUUUCUAGAGGGUCAAUUAUAGAAGAAUAAAACAACUAAAUAAAACGUGAAUAAGAUGUCUCAGGUACCUUGUGGCCAAAGAAAUGACCAGCUGGAUCACACUUGAAAAGCUGGGGUCCUUUUUCCUCAUCAAUACCCAAUACAAUCGCAACUUUACAUUUCAAAAGAAAAACAAGAAUAAAAUGGUGAGGCACAUAGAAAAUAGUGAAACGUUACUGAAAUAAUUCUUAUAAAAUGAAAUAAUUAAAGAUCCUAUUGAAAAUAGACCAAGUAGAUACAUUGACACUCUAUAACCUAAUUGACUGUGUAGAAAAAGAGAGAAAGGACUUACCCACUCCAAGAGGUCUCAUAUAUGCAUGUUGUGUAUACACCUGUGCUUGGUCUGCUAUCCUGUCAUUUCAUCAAAGGACAAUGGUAAGAAAGAAAAUCUCUAGAGCUUGCCAAGAUCACCACAAAGACAAAAUAUAGUUCAAGCUUUUACUCGAUAGAACUAUAACCAUGCAGGAAAGUUGAGAACUAUUUUCGUGUGUGGCAUUAAUGACUGCCUUUAUAAUAAUUUGAAAUGCGCCAUCACCCCUUAGUAUGGUCGCAGAGAACUAAUGCAACGACAAACAGGACUGAAAAAGUGAUGACCAAGAGCAUCAAGAACCAUGUUUUCUAUGGACAGACACCUAGCCUAUUUUCCAUGGAGGUUCAUCUGAAUAUAGCUGCACCUCCAUGAAACAGCCAUAUGCAUAGAUGUAAAAUAAAUAUAUAAAUAAGACAAAUUCUCGUUUGUGAUUUAUGAGCUUAUGCAGAACUAGCUUAAUAAAUAACUUGAAAUGGAAAUAAAAUGCAGCAAAUCUAAAAAACAGAAAGAACAGAAUAAUAUGAGAUGCAUGUGCUUACACGGAAAUUAUCUACAUAAAUAAAACGAAAUGGUAAAGACAAGCGCUCUGCAAACCGUAGCUCUAGAUUGCAUCUGUGAUUUGAAGGAUAUAGAUUACAGGGAAAACAAUAAAGCCAAACCAGGUGACCAUUUGAUAGAUUUAGCACUAUGCGACAAAAAAGACCAAAAAAAUAAUUCUAGGGACUAUUUUCAGACGAUUCAAAACUUCAAUAUGAACUAAUAACUAAGGUUUAGACCUUUCAUCAACAGAGACAUUUCAGAGAGGGUGAAUUCCAAUGAUCAUUUCUCAGAAACAUAAGCAGCCCCUCAAUUUUUAUUAUCUCUCCUUCGGCUAGAAGAUAUCAGUACAUGAUCUUUAACAUUAACUGGCACAUAAAAUUCAGUGAUGACCACAACUAUUGUGAUCAUUCAAAUUUCAGGUAGAAGUGGUAUCAUGAGCUCGUACUACUCCAAUUGCAAGGUCAGAAAAAGAAGUGAAUCAAAUUAUCAGUGAGUAUAAUAAAAAUAUAAAAAUAUGGAGGUUUUGGUUUCGUUAGACAAUCCAAUUUUUUUUCGGUUUAAACCUUAAAUUCCGGUCAAUGUUCAAACACUAAUCAUACAUAAAAUCGAUAGAUCGAUAUAUAUAUAUAUAUAUAUAUAUAUAUAGAUANNNNNNNNNNNNNNNNNNNNNNNNNNNNNNNNNNNNNNNNNNNNNNNNNNNNNNNNNNNNNNNNNNNNNNNNNNNAUAUAUAUAUAUAUAUAUAUAUAUAUAUAGAUAGAUAGAUAGAUAGAUAGAUAGAGAGAGAGAGAGAGAGCCCAAGCAGAUCAACUAGUGAAAUAAAUCUGCAAGCAAAUGCAUGAAAAAUGGAAAAUUUUUCUAGCUACAUAUGUACACACAGUAAUGGAUAUUGAGUCCACGGAUUACAUUUUCUAUUUCUUAAAUAAACCAACAUAGUGAAUGUUUAAUUACAUAACAAGACCAUGCAGAUAAAUUCCAUACCAUUUGGCCAAUACGUCAACAGGCAUUUCAUAGCCCCACUUAAAGCGAAACUCUGCUGCUUCAUUCCUUGCUUUUUGGACCAGAGACCUUGCAUCAGCUGGAUUGUUUCAAUUUCAAUGCAAUGUUAGUCCAUGGCAAAUGAAGGCUCAAACUAGUACAAAGAGACCACGUUUCUGAUGGAUUCACAGAAAUCGAGCUAUGAAUAAAGUUUAUCAGAGUAACGCUCUGUCCAAAUACGGAGAUGCUGACUGUUUAAGAUUAGAUCCUCACAAUUCCCAGGUUAUCAGAAUAUUUAGUGAACCAGACGGAAAGUGCAAAUAAAUUGCAUCUGAUGUUUUCGCGGGGGGGUCGGGGUAUUGCAGCCGUAACUGGUAGUAAAAUUUGAAUAGAGGAAAGACCUGUCAUCCCAGUUGCUAGCAGGCCGAGGUACUUCGUGAUUGGAAAAAGGUGACUCACGCUAGUCUGAUCCAAAAGCUUGUCCUGCAUUUAGUUUUCCCGUUGCCAGGAACCCAAUUAUUGAACGAGACAAAGAAAGGGAGGAUAGAAUACCACAUGCAAAGAGAACACCACAAGCAUUAGCCAGCUAAGAUUAACACUUACCGGGACCUUCUUCUGCGUUACGACACAGACGGAAUCCUUACCCCGGACAGCGAUCGACGUGAUCGCAGCUGCCUUCACCGCUUUGAAUGCAUACUCUGGCGAUGAACAGAACACGGAACUACCGCGUCAGGGAAGAGAAAAACCCUAACAUUCUCCCGGCAUGGGACAUGGAAAAAAAAACUUCCACGAUCCACCCCGUUUUAUCCAAAAAACAAGCGAAUUACAGAUUAAUUUCUACGGGAAACAAAGGAUCCAAGCGGGAAAUCAGAAGCACCCACCAACUUGAUAGAGGCGUCCCUCGGGGGAGAAGAUAGUGAUGUGCCGAUCGUAUCCGGCACCGGUUCCACGACUCAUCGCUCCUCUCCCUUCUCCACGGAUUACAGCUACGGCCGCUCCUUCUCUCCGCCCGAGCUGCAGGUACCUCGCCCGAACCCUCCCUCCGCUCCUACGACCCCGAAUGAAGACGCCGUUUAACAGUGAGCCCCUAACCAGACUUGAGCAACAAGAAGCUGCGACUCACACGUGAGACUCACACGUGUGAUCCCCCGGGGGGCAUGUCAGCCAGAAAACCUGUUUCUGGGGCUUUUGAGAAAAAUAAGAACAAAAUGAGGGUUCGCAACGUUAUUUUCCUGAAUUAAUUUUUCAUGCCAGUUCGCCUUAGACCGCAGUAAUCUCUUCUGAUCAAUUAUUAUUUUUUGGUCUGAUUUCUGUUUUCGUUUCUUGUUUUCUUGAUUUUUCCACAAGAUUAGUCUGGUUGGUUCUCUGCGCCCAGUUUGCCGGAGCCCUGGUGAACCUCGCCCGGCGGAGCCGACCGCCUGUGCCGUGGGUGUCCGCACGCGCCGCUUGUGCGCCCCAGUAUACCACGCCGUGACGCCACGCACUAUCGCACGCGCCGUGCCGACCUGUGUCCAUGCCGCGCCGUGCCGGUGCGCCCGACGCGCGCGCGAUCGCCCGGUGCGCCGUGCCGCUAUGUUUAGGCUGAUCCUCUUCUUCCGCGGGUCUCGCUUGAUGGGCGUUGCUAGAGCAUCUGCUUUGCUAUGCGUUAUUCAUGGUAGGAGACCCAGACACUCUAAUCGACGAACGAAGAGGAAUAGUAAUAAUUCGGCUAAUUUACGGGAGCUGGAACUUAGAAAUUCGUUUUAUCAUUCCUUGUAAAAGUUAUGUAUAAAUUUUGAAGACUUGAUGAAAGAGAAGAAAAAUUUCUGCUCAUUCCACUUCGAGAAACAGAGCCACUGGUUGGGGGUGAGAACCGGGGGGGAGGCGGUCAGGCUCUGAUCACCAGUUCAUACACGCUGCAGUAGUUCUCGCCGGGGACCCGCUUCAAGACCUCGAAGCUCCGGCGGCUCCCCAGGAAGUCGAUCCUCUUGACGGGCGGCGCGCGCGCGUCAGACGCAUCCUUGCUCGCGUAGAGGGAGCGGAGCGAGUCGGCGUGCUUGGAGUCGGUGUGGAUCGCCAGCGCCACCUCCUCGGCCGGCAUCUUCUCCUGCAGAUUGCGGGGGGGAGGCAAAGCCAUGGGAGACCAGACCGGGGGAGGAGACAGAAGGAGUCGCUCGGGCGGGUGAGAGGUACCUGGUAGAAGCUGUAGAUGAGGUCGAGGACCUGAAGACAGGUGAAGCCGCCGUCGCUGAAGAAUGUUCUUGAGGAAGGCCCCAGCUCACCGAAUCGAUCAACCGGGAAUAGUAUCGUGAGGAAGUGGGUCUUCAAGAUCACCACCCCUUUCUCGCUGAAGAAGGCGGAGCAUGUAAGAAUCGGAGGAACCCUAGAAAUCUUAGACCAAAAUGGGGGGGCCCGUGGAGUUGGGACCUUUCUUUAAGCGGCCGCGAGAGGUUGCUGAAUGAAGCGUCCAAGUCCAUCUUGUCUGAGAGCGCACUGACGAACUUGGUGUCGUUGAGGUGAUCUUCGGAGCCAGGGCGAUGAUCGGUGUAAAGGGAGGCCGAUGAAGUGGGCUCCGAGACGGACCAGCAUAUAGAAUCCAAGAGAUUGCCGGGAGUGAUUGGCUGAAUUAUAGUCUGAUAAGACUGAAAUAAAUAAAAUGAGCGAUUAAUCGGUGCCUCAGACGCUAAAGGGAUAAGAAUAUCCAUCAGAUGAGCAACUGGUAACCACCGUGUCAAAGAGAAAUCAGUAACAAAUCCAAAUUCUUUAAAAGUUUUUAAAAAUUAAAGCGAUCAACUAAAAUCAGCGCUAAAUUAGGUCGAUCAGUUCUAAAGUAAACGGUCCAACUCAGAUCAACUAGUAUGGGAAGGGUGGUAUUGUUUUUUUCUUUUGUUCUACAGGGUCUCUCGACAGCGAAAUUAUAAGGAUUUCAUUGGGCAUACCCACAUCAACCCAUCUUCCUCCCAGUCGGGUUGACCAAUACUCAUUAACUUCUCUGAGGAUCACGAUGGUUAAAGAAACAUGCACAGUGGCUCAAAAAUUAUAUUCCCGAUGAGUAUUUGAUUACCUGAAUACGACGAGAACGACGAUUCUGAAUACUAAUUUUAGCCAUCUCAACAAUUUUCUGUCUCUCUUCGAGGCUUUUGAUCGCGCUUGGAGAUAUUAAAGAUUCCCUUUUGCGAGCAGCUGCCUGAUGGGUGUUCUGCCCGUUGGCAUCCUGAAAAAUAUUAAAAAAAAAAUGAUAAUUCUGACUUACCAAUACCCACUACUGAAAAAGCAUAGACCUGGGAUGCAGAAUUUAUCUUCUUACACAAUACUCCAAUUUAAUAUGAUUUCAUGCACCAGUCUGCUAUGCGGACGGAUUACACCACGAGCAAAACUUAUCUAGCUCACGGGAAACUCUCACAAUCUGACGGAUAAAAGAAUGAGUUUUAUAACAGAUGAAAAUACCAUGAAGUUAAAACCCACAUUUCAAUCACGGGUAACAUUCAGUGCAUUACGAUUUAUUCUUUUUCCGAACGGAAAACUUUUUACAAAGAGAAAGUGUAUGCUUGAUAGAGAGGUAGCGUCAAGUUUAUCUGGAAUCCGGAGAAGUCCAAGUACCAAGGGAAACCAAGAAAUGAAAUGGAAAUGGCAUGAACAUCUUUACUGAAAGUCCGAAAAAAUUGAGGCGAGUGUACACAGACAUGGAUGGGAAAGUAGAGGAUACCUGUUCUGGAAAACUAGCUUGCACAUUUUCCAGGGUCAUUGCAACAUGCCUAGCAAGAUCACUGGACAAGUGAACAAGUCUCUGCACAUGUUUCUCCUUCACUGAUUUCAGAAUCCAAAGUGGCUGCAUCAGUCGGUAAUGAGACAAUGCGCCAAAGGUCAAUCAAACUGAAGCCGAUUGUGUGACUAAGCAUAUGUGGAUAAGCACCGAAUGCACAAGAACUUACGGUGACGAGAUUGUUCGCAUGCCCAAUAUAUCUCUGGACAUAGGGUCCUUCACACACUACAUGACUUGCUCGACAACCAACAAACCACUGAUCUGUACAUGUGGCUCCUUCUGCAAGAGCUGCAUCAACAACCUGAGAAAGUGUCAUGAAGAAGGCUUUAUCGGCAUACGGUCGGAAUAUGACAGUGGAAUCAGUGUGGAAGAUGAUGCGGGCGUAAAACGAAAUAUAAAUGAACGAGUGUCUGUUUCCAAGUGAAUUCAUGCCCUACCUUCUUCUUCAGCUCAUUCGAAACAUUUGGAUCAACGUGGAUGACCUUGUUCGAGAGAACAAGUCUUCUCCUUGUGGUCUCCUUUUCAGCUGCCUGUAGAUGAGGUUUCAAGGUUAUGUUGCUAUGGGUGCGACCAUCACGGGGAGGUGUGCAGGAUUUCUCAGAAACACCACAGCCAGCUAGCAAGUUCGACUCAUGCAAUGGCCGGCGAAUCUCUCCGACGCUCUUCACAUCAUAAAGAGCUUCACUCAUCCUCACUGCAGCAUUCGGCGAGAACCUAACUUCAGCAUUUAAGAUAUAGGCACAAAACUAUCUAGAAAAAAAAAAUUGGACGGAGAAAUGAUCAAGGAACCCGUAUGGAAAUGGGCGAGGAGAUGGGGAAAUCAACCAGGAGGAUGCAAACGACAACCAUUGCUCACCAUUCCUUCUGACGCUGUCGACGAACCAGCCCACUGUGACGACAAGGAGGCCGUUCUUCAACCCAUGCUUUACAGCAUGUUCAAACUUGCGUCCGCCAAAGCUGUAUCUUUUGAAGUUAAGAAGUAUCAUCUUCAACAGAGAACUUUUGCCAGGAUAUAAUUAAAUAAUAGCGCAGUAGGCAUACGUGAAGGAAGAAUCACGGGUUUUAUAAGAGCUGGUAGCCAAGAACGUAAACAAUUUUUAGCAGGAUAUCUGAACAACGAGAUGGGUGCACCCUGGAUGUAAGCUCGCGCUGUAUUGGCCGCCUAAUCUUUCUGUCGCCACCAUGACUUGCUUUCUCACUUCUGCCAAAAAAAUAAGCAUAUCGCAUUUGGUCAAAGACAUCCAGAUUUCAAAAAUAAGAAGGGGAGAUUCGAAUUGAGCAUGGUCUAAUCUCUGCUGUAAAAAUUUUUUGGAGAUAGUAAACAAGGAAAAAGUUAGAAAAUCUUAAAAAUUAGAAAAGCAGAUAUCGUGGCGAGAGAGCUGGAACCUUUGGACAACCCUGUUACGCAUAUGACAAGACCUGCAAAAGGCCCAGCAGUAGCAGUUCCCGGAGCCCCCGCACCAGCCUCGGCGAUAGCCAUGGAAGCCGGAGAUGUCAAGCUGGAGGGCCUCGGGGUGCUGAGGGGAGGAGAGGAGGGUGGAGGAGAACCAGGUGGGACGAUGAAGAGCCUCGAGCAUCCCUUGUUGUUGAUCACCUCCACUAGACCACCGCUGGCCAUUAGUUGAGAACCCUCGCCGAUGGCGAGCGAGAGGACCUUAACAGCGAGAACUUGAGGAAGCUUUGAAGGCCGAUUGAAUAACAGUCAUUGAUUUCUCGCGGAAGCACCACGAGAGCCCUCUGGAUACUAUGACGAAUCCAGCUAUUUCACUCCUCACCCAACGCUUGCUAGCGAUUCCAGAAAACUGCAGCCCAACACACCAUCCAAAAAUGGUCAGUCUGGUCUACAAUUAAAGGCAAAAAGAAUUGAGAGUGAAAUGGUGAAGAGAUCACAGGUACCGCGACAAGAGGACCAAAUGUAAAAUCCUCCCAAACAGAACGAAAACAACAUCGCAACACAGUAAUUCGGAAAAAUGAAGAGAAUCCGUGAACAAAGCAUCAAAAAUAGAUGUAGGAGACCCGUCCGACAAAGCAAGAGGAGCAGAAAAAAGAAAGAAGUGCGUAGUCAGACGUCUGAUGAAAACCACAAGAAUUAUAAUGUGUCGUACUAAAAGCGUCCCACCUGGCGGACGAAGAACUUCCCCUAACCAAAAACCGCUCGCUCUCAACGGAGGAGGAAUGAUCGACGUACCUGCAACUGAACGACGACGCUGCACCAGGGUCGCCCUGGAUAUAAUAAGACGGAGACGGGGGAAUCAAGCAAAACCGACGUAAUCGCCGAAGGUGGACGAACAGCGGCCACCAGACGCUUCGUCCGACGCAAGCAAUGGCAACCGCAAGAAGAAGAAGCGGAGGAAGAAGAAGGACAGCAAACCAGAGUAUAGUAUUGACUUGAAAAUGAUGGCGGUGAGAGCGAUGACGGCAACGCGCGACUCGCCGUCGCCGGCGGCAGCUUUCUCUGCCCCCCUCCCUGUUCCAGUCCCGACAGCCCCUCCCGUUAAAUAUGCACCGGUUUCUUCAAAACUACCAAAAUUGACAUCCGUUGAUGGGCGUGAUCCUUGAUCUAACGGCCAUAAUUCAAACAAGAGUGAGGGCACUAUCGUCAAACAAGAUCUCGGCCGAUGCCGCCGUUUGUGGUCACCUUCUGGGAUGAAGAGUCUGAAGGGGGGUCCAUACUACGAUUUAUGUGAAUGUACUGAAAAACCCCUACAUAUCCCCGCGAUCUGGCAAGAGUGAAUAAAGCCACGUGACCUACAUGGAAAUGCAAUUCCACUCAGUGCACGGGGGCAUUAAUGUCAUUAGGAUGAGUUCGAAAGCCACUGGACUGCAUUUUUAUUGCCGAUGACUAUAAGAAGCUCCAGUUGUAUUUUUAUUUGCGCAUGGACCCCUCUCUCUCUCUCUCUCUCUCUCUCUCUCUCUCUCUCUCNNNNNNNNNNNNNNNNNNNNUCUCUCUCUCUCUCUCUCUCUCUCUCUCUCUCUCUACAGGGAUGUAGAGAGAAGGGGUCAGCUGGGUAAGGCAUUUGGGGUUCCGAAGAACAAGUCUUUGCAUUCCAGACGCCAAAAAAACAGAAAACAAGAAAAAGAAGCACCUUUUUCCGCAGAAUUGAAGAAAAAAAGGCAGCAAAAUUUCCGGAAAUAGAAACAAAACACAACUUAUUCUCAAUCUCCGUCAUCCUCCCGCGCCUCCGGGCCUCCUCCAUCCUGAUCAUCUGAGAGAGAGAGAGAGAGAGAGAGAGAGAGAGAGAGCAUGGGGGGGCGGGGCAGGGAAGGGAACAGUACCUGAAAUGGCUACCAGGAGGACUUCUUGACCCCCAUGAGGGCUCCCUGGGAGGCCUUCUCGCGGAAGGUGAUGCGGGACAUGCGGAAGAGCCUGAGCACGGCGCGGGGGCGGCCGGUGGAGAUGCACCGGUUCCUCACCCGCACGAAGGAGCUGUUCCUCGGCAGCUUCGACAGCUUGCACCGGUGCCGAUCCCGCAGCUCCGCCGGCAGCUCCGGGUCCCGGCACACCGCCUUGUACAGCUUCCGCCUCAGCUCGUACUUCGCCGCCAGCAGCCGCCGCUUGUGGUCCAGUAUGUUCCGCUUCUCCAGCGUCUUACACAGCUCACCCCUCUUUUUUUUCCCCAAAAAAGAAUUUAAAAAAAAUGACCCAUUAAUGGGAACAAUUCAAGGACACACUCGUAAGUAUAUAUUAUUGAUUAAUUAAGAGUAAGAGAUGGAAGGGGGCAGCUGUACCUCAUGCUGGCAGGGGAACCGCUCGCUGGGCGGCGCGGCCGCCGCCAGGGCCGAUGCGUGCCUUCUGCUCAGAAGGAAGGGGCCCCCUACUCCCUGGGCCAUGCCAGUGGAGGCAGAUCCGAGAUGGGGCACAGAGAGCCACCGGCAUGGGGCAUGGCUCAUGCUGCUGGCAUCUCCUGCUCCGGCCUUCAGGGGAAGCAGAGGAGCAUGGAAGAAGAUGAGUCAAAGCAGUCAUCUGAGCGAGAUCCCUACCUCAUGCAUCCAUUACAAGCUUAAAUCCACAAGAGACAAGAUCGUACAGACAUGGGAUCACUCCAUCGCGAUGAGAUUUUCCAUCUCACUAAUCAUCCUCCACACACUUUACCCCUCUUGAAGGUAGAAGUGAGGAAGCUGAAUCUACCGUGGGUAAUUUCUAAGUAAGAUUUAGUGAAAUAUUUUCGUUCAAAUAGCUUUUUGGAGGAAAUAAUUACUUAAAGAAACAUACUGCUGCUUGAACACUGAUGAGACAGCUAUCAGCAUCACCAUUGAAGGGAGAUAGUGGAGAGGAGAUGAUUGAGAGAAUGCGGCACUGGCCAAGGGAAGCACCACCUCUCCCCUAAUGGUCUAUAAACAGAUGAUGACCGAGUGCCUUGCAGGGGUACUCAUAUUUUAAACCUCAGCAAGAUAAGCAAGAACAGGUCGUGGCAAGGAUUUCAAGUGGCUGAAAGGAUGAGUCACAAAGAAAGGAUUUUUCUCAGCAAAUAAAACGGAGUUCGAAAAAAAUUCUCAUUUGCAUCUAAAGAUGAUGUUUCCUACCAUGAUGUGGGAACAUUCGCCAAACAAAAAUCUUAUGAACACUAAGCAACUGUUACUAGGUUUCGGUAUUAAGAUGCUAGCCGAUCUAACAACACAAUUGCGGAUAUUAAAACGCUCUUGGUGAAGAACCCCUCAUUUAUCGUCCGAAUAAAGUUGGCAGAAACCCAAUUUCGCAGAAGGAAAAUCGGUUACAGAGAAAAAAACUGAUGAGCGGUAAUAGUUGGUCAACUUUUAGGGCUUGAUGAUCCAGACCAUGCCAACAGCCAACCAAAUCCGGAUAUGGAAUGGAUGGUACUAAUCGAUAAGGUGAUGAAUCCGCAGUUUAGGGAAUUAAAAUUACAAUUGCCACUAGACCAAUUCUUGGUCAAUUGCAUGGAUUUAAGAUGGAUAAUUGACCAGGGCAUGACAAAUCCACUGUGGCUUCUCGUUUAUGUUCCAUGUAAAAAAAUUGUUUGGGACAACUCACCCUACCCUACAACAUAGAUCCAACUACUUUUCUAACAAUUUUAUUCACACAAAGGGGUAUGGGAAUUAUUAAGCCAACAGAGAACCGAUGCAUAUCAAUGCCUCACUCCGGUCCCAGAACCAACAACAAAACUUCAAAGAAACAUACAACAGAGAGGAAUGAUUGUUGUUUUCAAGAUGCAGUUGAAGACUAUAAAGAGAGAACACGAGAUCGUUUCAGAAGGGGUUUCACAUAAACGAUCCAACCUGACCGUUUCCCAUUCAAUCUCCUUAUAAUGCUCCUCAUAACAAAACCAGAAGCAUUAUUGGCCUCCCCACGUCUUCCUCUGUAUUUUUUCUUCCUAUCAUAAAUCCAACAGUAACUAAACCCGAAAUAUGUUAGAAACAGACUAACUCUAGUCAGACGUUCCUUUCCGUUUUAAACAUUGGCUUCACCAGGUAAAAAGUCAAGUCAAGUAACAGAUACCCAUUACUCAUGCCCGCACAAGUCUCGUAUGCAAGUCGUGGUUGACUUAUAACAAACCAGAAAUUGAACAUAGCCUUUUUUUUGUGAUUUGUCUCCAUUCAGUCCAAAUUGUUCAUAGACAGUCCAGCGAUGACUAGAGAAUACUCAGAACUGCUCCGUAAACCUAGGGAAUAGCUGAAUAUUUCGAAUAAUCAAUGGAAAGUAAGCAUCCAACACUCCCUUGGGUUAUUUACAAGUGUCACAUUAACAUGUGGAAAUGUACUUUGUGUGAAGGAAGAUCACAUCAAAGGCCCGGCCCUUAUAAAAUCGCACGAUGAAUAAAACGGCGAGUGAAAGAUUGAAAACUUCGAUAUUGAGGAAAUCAUGCUAACUAAGCGGUUGGAUUUCAAGAAGGGAAUGAAGACUAAAAGGGAUACCGUUGAGACAAUGAUCCAUUGAUUGAGACUAGAAUAGAUGCAGGGAUAAAAAUGCCGACGAAACGCUUCCUGAAAUAGGAGAGAUAGACGUACGAAUGCAUGGGCGACGGUGAAAAUUGAUAAGCGGAAAGUUAAGCAUUGCAUCGAGGAGCUAAACACUUAAGACUGGCCGCCGUGUGAUUAAAUUUUCGCAAGUUAGCCGAUUCAACCCCACUGACAACGGACAAUACGGAACUAACGAGCUGCUGGAAGUCGAUAGAAAGAAUGGAUCAAGAUCCAUGAAUAAAUGACGUUUAAAUUUACUACGAAAUCAUCAAAUCCAGCGAAGCGAAGAGGAGGAUACCUGAUAUCCGUGGAUGUUAAGGCGCGGGAGCCGCGGCUGCUGCUGCUGCCAUUUCCCCACAGCCGACAAUGAACGAGACGCAAUCUUCCCCAGAAGACCCCUCACCAUUUCGGUAGCUCCAACGUCGCAGGAUCAGCUGAAAAAUCAAAGCAAUAAAAAAACGGCACGAUUAGGCUAAAUAGAAAAUCUAGGCACAUGAACGGAGGUCAGAAGAUCGGAUUCGGACUGGACCAGCGUUUCGACGGGAUGUCUCGACCGGAUGAUCUUGCGACGCGGGGGGGAGGUGAACCCCUUUCAAAACCCUAGAAAAUCCUUGGAAGCCAGCUCUGGUUUCUCCAUAUUCUCCCCCGCUUCCCUCCCCCCACGCACGCUCCCCAUCUCUGGACGGAGGGGGUGACUUUUCGCUGAAACCCUAAAUAUAUUUAAUUUUUAAAUUAUAACCUUUUUACUUAAAAAAUACAAUAUUGUCCAUUUUCGUCGAUGCCAGAGCGGGCUCUCCUGCGAAAACCCCCCAAUAUUUUUCAUAUAUAUGAAAAUGUCCAUUUUCAUGUGUUCAUUUCUCCUGAACGUUAAAAUAAUAAACAUAUUCGUAUAAAAUGCAAAUUAAAUUACCGCGAGGAAAUAGUUACGUUAAUUAUGAAAAUUUAUAUUUUAUGAAAAAUAUAAACCAUCCACAGAAGAUGCUUGAUAAAUAUAUUCGUUAAUAUAAAUGGGAAAUUUAUGGAAAAUAUAUAUUGUAAUGAUUUAUUUAAAUAUUUCUCUUAACAACGGAAAUAUAUUUCGUAAGCAGGCGGCACAGUAGACGCCUCUCCGGUGGUCUUCUUCCCUGUCACUCGCCGUCGUCUCCGCGGCGGAGGGGGGAGCAAAAGGCGGCGGAAGCCGAAGGGGCAGCGGCGGUAUUGGCGGCGACUGGCGGCGGCGGUCGGGGUGCUGGCGAAGGGCGAAAGGAGGGUGGUGUUUUCGAUCGUUGACGACGUCCAUUUUUGGAAUUCCCUUCUCCGGGAGGUCGGUUUCCGGGGAGUAGGCGGAGGAUUCCGGCGGGACUGCUCCUCCGGGGGUCUGUUUCAGAGGAUUUUUUUGAUUGCUCCGGCUGGAUCCGGGGCGAAGGAGACGCUUCAGUCUCGCCGACGGUUUACUGCUCCGGGCAAUUGGGCCUUAUCCGUCACUCAGUGACCAGUGGGAGGGACAUUUGGUCGGCGACAGCCGGUGCCGUCCGGAGCUCGAGGAAUAUCGGCGGCUGUCCAUGAGAUUUGACGCGGUUCUGGCUGGUCUCUCGGCGUAAAGUUGGCAUCCCGGAAGGGACGAUUAGGGUUAGGGUUCGAUGUCGUGGCCGGGUCAAGAGGACGUCUUCUUCUCCACUUCUCUUGCCAGCUACCUCGACAGUAAUGCCCUCCCUCUUCUUUCGUCUAUUUGAUCCUUCAAGAUCGCAAAUCUAUACUGCAUCCUUGUUCGAUUUGGUCGCAGAUCGGCCGAGAACUUGUUAUUAUCCUCCUCCACAUCAUUUAGUUUCAUACUCGUGUAGAUCCGAACCAGGAAGCCUCAGACAUAUCACCGUGUUUUUCCCCGGCACAUUAUUAUGAAAUGAAAUCUUGCAAAUGAUUUUUUCUUCUUCCAACAUAAUUUUUAGUUUUUACCUUGUCGAUAUUUUGUCCCCAAAGAUGACUGUGAUCACAUUCCAAGACGUCAAAGCUGCGAAGAAAGGACUUGCAGUAGAAGGCUUAUACCGUCUCCAACAUCUCAGGAUCCUUCGGAGAAAUCAGCCGUCAAGAAAACAGGAACAGAGAACGGCCACUGUUGCUAGCAGCUGAUGGCUCAUUUCCCCAUAUUUCAAUCUAUCUUAUCAGUCUUCCGCACGUUGAUGCCAGGUACAUGGCGAAAACGCCGACCAGACCUCCCCCAUUGAGCUAGGGCAAGGCCAUCAUGGUCUUGGGAAAUUCUCAGAUUCAGAUCAUGCCCAGCGAUCGAUGCAUAUGGAGUUCAAUCGAAUUUUCAAGCAUUUACUCAUAGAAAUCUUCCACCAGAAUGUUCCUCAGCAGCUCUUUUGUACAUGGUAUUCUUGUGGCAUUGAUGUUCUGUGUUGCAAAAAUGGCAUCACUGGAGUCUCUUUCUUCUUGAAAUGCUCUCCCUACCCAUAGAAACCAGCACGACCAGCAGUCUCUCGGAGAUCUGGGUGAGUUUAUUGAAUCAUCAACCAGCCAUGAGAUUGCUGGAGAGGCUUCGGUGCUGUCAGUUGCUUCCUGCAUUCUCUUACAUUCUUCCUGAAUCCGUUCCUAGAAAGCCCGUCGUCCCCUCUGGGUUCCUCUUGUUCAGUAGAUGCGCAGUCGAAAAUCUUGCUGACCCAAUGAGUUCCCUGGGAUUCUAUCCGGCUCACACUCGUAUGCCCAUAUGGAUAAAAGUCAACGAGUACAAGACAUCGCAAGGGCACUUUUGUAUUGGUAAUAGUCAAUGAUGAUCGAUACUGGCUGACCACUGGGUGGUCUUGACUUCCAUCACUCUGGUUUGUGUGUUGACCACUACACCUGAGAACUUAAAAAGUGAUCUCAUUAACACUUUGAAGUAUGCAUGAUCACGGUAUAUAAUAUCUAGCCAUUUUUUCCCAUGGUUGGUGGGUAUUUCAUCCCGUUUUGCACACAUGCCAUCAUUAUUGGAGCUCGGCACCUGCCUGUUUUAUCAUUUUUCUAUGCAUUUUUGUUACUAUUAUUUAUGAAAAGGUUUGACUUGUUUGGCAGAGAAACUUCUCGUCUUGCUGCGGGAUGGGCGGAAGCUUCUGGGCAUCCUCCGUUCCUUUGAUCAAUUCGGUACUCUCUCUCUCUCUCUCUCUCUCUCUCUCUCUCUCUCUCUCGAUGCCCACAUCCUCCUCUGUUUCUCCCCACCUGCUCAUGCAUCCGAACUCCCUGCCUUCCCCAGCAAACGUCGUCCUCGAGGGCGCCCACGAGAGGGUGAUCGUUGGGGAGCUCUACUGCGAUAUCGUACUGGGUCUCUAUGUGAUCCGGGGGGAAAACGUGGUCCUGAUCGGAGAAUUGGUAUCCAUUCUGUCUAUAAUCGUAUCUACAUGUUCCAUCUAUAUAUAUAUAUAUAUAUCACGGCAACCAUGAGGUAAUCUUUGCUUGUGAUUUUUGGGUUGCAGGACCCAGAGAGGGAGGAGCUCCCGGCCUCAAUGACUGCCGUCUCUGUUGCCGAAAUAAGAAGGGUGGGUGGGGCUCUUAGUAGCAUUUAGAACAGGAGGUCGCAGGUAUCUAAAGGCUCUGCUUCUUCCCCCUCGCAGGCCCAGAAAGCUGAGAAGGAAGCGUCGGAUCUCAAAGGAACCAUGAGAAAGCGGAUGGAGUUUCUCGACCUCGACUGACGAGUUCAUCCGACGAACCAUGCCCCCCUGGUCUCCUCCUCACAGACGAUUUCCGAUUCUUCUGAGAUUUCUCUCAAGUGUUAUAUUUUUAUUUUUUUUCCUUUCCCUGAAUCGAUCUUCUUUGAGAUUCGUCUCCGACAUGGUCUUCACCCACGGCGAUCUUCUGUAACAUGAACUCUCUUUGGCCGACUCAGUUUCUCCAUUGCCAACUCGGGUAAUCCUCCAUGACCGAGAGAAGAACAGGGGAGGAGCUCAAAUUAUUUAACCGGAAGCACAACUCGGAGUCAUAUGAUGAUUCGGCUCCUGAUCUUCAUGGAGCUCGAUGAGGCCAGCUCGCUCUGAAGCAGAGGAGCGCCCCUACUACGUGAGGUAGCGGAUGAAGGGUUCGGCCUGCGGGGAGGCGAGGGAGGCGGCCCCGGCGUAAGAGGCCAUCUCAAAGUCUUCGAACUGGAAGGCUGGGGCGCAGGUGCAGCCGACCAGAGAGUAAUGGCGCUCGGGGUCUCUCCGGGGGGCCAGGAGGAGCGAGUUCCCGUCGUAUGAUUCCAUGUCUUUGGUGGGGAAGGAGCCGAACCAUGUCAUCGGCGGCACGGUGUGCUGGGGGACCUGGCCAGACUCCAGGUCGGUGCCGAGGACGGUGAGCUUGGCCUCCCCAUUGUCUUGGAGCUCGAAGACCUGCUCGGGGGAGAUCAGAGGACGAGGCUGGGUGAGAUGGGUAUCCGCCAAAAAUGAGAUCUUGGACGAGAAGAAGAUGGGAGUGGAAGGUUCACCGUGAGAGGUUCGCCGGAGUAGAAGUGCCAGGUCUCCGCGCAGGGGAUGCGAUGGAGGUGCGAGACGUUCCCCGAUGGCAGCAGGAAGUAGAUCGAUGUGCUGAUGGGGCGGUCCACCUUGUCUGCGGGGGGGGGGGGGAGUCCGAUGGUGGAAGAAGGCCGAGCACGAAAUCAGAUGCCUCUAGGAUUAAGAAAUCUCCUGAUCAUUCAUCCAUCUAGCAUCAUCAUCUUCAUGGAGUGGCUUGUGAUGGUAAAAAAAAACCCUAGAUAAUGAAGAAGAUUCGCCAUCUCUCAUGGAGAUCUUUGCUAGAAUGCCCUUUUCUCAUGAAAUCAGACGCCAUUUUCUUAGCCACCGGCAGACCGCUGCCGGUCCUUUUCUUCAGUCGGCUAGCAAUUUGCAUGGCGCAAUCAUAGAACUCGAUUAGGGUCAGUUCUUUCUGAGACCGCAUUAAAUAGGUCUGACUCCCUGUUUCUGGCAUGGCAUUCGAGCACCAGAGCACUAGACCAAUCCAAAGGGGGGAAGGAAGCAUUAAGGCGGAGGGAGGGUAAGAAGGAGGAGGAGGAGGAGGAUGCCCUUUCUUACGCAGUAACUGUUUUUCACAAGCUAGGAAUCGCAUUCGAUCUAUAGCAGAACAAUUAGGCAGCCCCUGAAUGUUAAUGUAAUUAUAGAUGCUAAUUGUCAUGGAGGAGGUUUCCGAGUCUCAGAUUUCUCAUGUCGUAAGAGAGUUCNNNNNNNNNNNNNNNNNNNNGAACAUCAUUCUGGAACAGAGAUCCGAAGAGCUAUAAGCAAAAUCCGACGAGGAAUUCGACGAGGCGGCUAAUAAAUGCUGUAAAAUAAAAAGUGCGAUCAGAUGAAUCGGAACCAGAUCGGCAGGUUCGAUUAAGGACGGGACACGCACGUGAUCGAAGCUCGGAGAAAGAGGAGCCGUAUAACACGAAGAGGCCGGGGCGCUCGUAGAUCAGAUCGAUCCACAGACAGACAGAAAUACAAAAUCGCAUAAAUUUUGGGGCGGCGGGAAGAGUUCAGAGCACUCGUACACUGAGGCGGGAGCUGGGACUUGGUCAGGACGACGGAAUCAUCCCGGAAGGUCUCGGAGUAGAACCCCCCUUCCGGAUGCGCCUUGAGAUCCAGCAUAGCCACAACCUGCGAGGCGCUGCCGGGGACCAUCCUCUCCUCCCGGUUCGAGAUCUGGAUCUCCGCCGAGAGGAAGAGGGAGCAGGAGCAACUCCAUCGCCGGCAACCUUCUCUACCCUUAAAACCCUCCCCAUCUUUAUCGUCUUCCGCCAGUUCGUUAGAAGGAUGGGGACAUUUUAACUUAGCCCUCAGAUUAACAUUUUCUUAUAAAAAACACUCUUAACGUGGAAAUUUACAAAUCAACCAUUAUCGUAUAUAAAUUCUGGCCCAUCUCGGCCCAAUUAACUGGGCCCAGUUGAAAGCCGCCAGUUGGGUUCGAGGCUUUUUACUAUGUUUGGACUAUAAAAAUUAAUAAUCAGUCAAAUAUAUAAUUAUUAAAUAUCAUUAAAUGUUCAUCUUCAAUAUUAAAUUAAAUGUCCAUGUUUUCAUUCUGGACUGGGUCCACGUCACACUUGACUUUAGCGGAUGUUUGAAAAUCUCACGUCAGAUCUUCUCAGGCGUAUCCGGGCCCAUAUGCGACAAAAAGCCGAGCCGGCAGUGGAUAACACAGGCGCAGCGCUAGUCUCACAUCUCGAACAGAGAGAAAGUGGGGGAGAGAGAGAGAGAGAGACGCACACAGACACACAGACAAACAGGCAGAAAGGAUGUAGAGAGAGAGAGAGAGAGACGUACAAAGACACACAGACAAACAGGCAGAAAUGAUGUAGAGAGAGAGAGAGAAUCUAUUCUCUCACUUGCAGGGAGGGAGGGGGCUCCCGCAGAGGCACCGAUUGUGGAAGAACUCGUACUGGGUGAGGGUGGACAGGAAGCCGCCCCGAGGGAUCGGGCCGCAGAGGCGGUUGUAGCUGACGUUGAAGGAGCUCAGGUUCUUGAGCUUGGUCAGCUCCGGCGGGAUCUUCCCGUAGAUCCGGUUGUGGUUGAGGUCCAGGCCGCUGAUGUUGCGGAUGACCGCCGCCUUGGACAGGUCGAACUCCAGCUGGUUCCGGCUGAGGUCGAUGGACGUCCAUUUUCCGCUCCCCGCGAACAGCGCCGACGGGUCGCCGGUGAGCUGGUUCCUCGACAGAUCGAUCUGCGUGAUGUUCAGCCGCGCGAAGGACUGCGGGAUAGCGCCGGUGAGGUUGUUGUGGCUCAGCCGGAUGUAGAGGUCCGGCUGCGGGAGCUUGCCGAGGGCCUCGGGGAUGGGUCCGGAGAGCUGGUUCCGGUCGAGGAAGAGCGCCCCCAGCUGGGGGAGGUCGCCCAGGGAGGGCGGGAUAGCGCCGGAGAGCUUAUUGAAGGAGAGGUUGAUGUACUCGAGCUUGGCAAGGCGGCCGAGGAAGGCCGGGACGGGGCCGGUGAGGCCAUUCCAGUCCAUCCACAGCAUCUUCAGGCGGGUGAGCUUGGCGAGCUCCGGCGGGAAGGGCCCGGUGAGGUUGACGGAUUUGCGGAAGAUGAGUUUCUCCAGGUAGGGGAGGUCACCAAUGGACGGCGGGAGCUUGAUGGGCCCGGGGGUCUCCAUGCCGAGAAUGACAACGGCGGUGACGCGGCCGGUGGAAGGGUUGCACUCGGUGGCGUACCACUCGCCGCAGCAGUCGGUGCUGGCGGUCCAUGAGAUGAUAGUGUAGGGGUUGCCGAGGUCCUUCUGGAGCCGGAGCAGCGCGCGCUUGUCGGCGGCGUUGCAGACCGGCGCGGCGAGUGCCGCCCCGGCGAGGGAAGACACCAGCAGCGCCGCCAGCAGCGGCAGCCGGAGGAGGAGGGAAGGAGGAGCCAUGCUGCCUUCUGCCCUCCCCCCCCCCCCCCGGCUGAUAUUAUAGGUCGAGGGGAGGGGGGAGGCACUCGGUUNNNNNNNNNNNNNNNNNNNNNNNNNNNNNNNNNNNNNNNNNNNNNNNNNNNNNNNNNNNNNNNNNNNNNNNNNNNNNNNNNNNNNNNNNNNNNNNNNNNNNNNNNNNNNNNNNNNNNNNNNNNNNNNNNNNNNNNNNNNNNNNNNNNNNNNNNNNNNNNNNNNNNNNNNNNNNNNNNNNNNNNNNNNNNNNNNNNNNNNNNNNNNNNNNNNNNNNNNNNNNNNNNNNNNNNNNNNNNNNNNNNNNNNNNNNNNNNNNNNNNNNNNNNNNNNNNNNNNNNNNNNNNNNNNNNNNNNNNNNNNNNNNNNNNNNNNNNNNNNNNNNNNNNNNNNNNNNNNNNNNNNNNNNNNNNNNNNNNNNNNNNNNNNNNNNNNNNNNNNNNNNNNNNNNNNNNNNNNNNNNNNNNNNNNNNNNNNNNNNNNNNNNNNNNNNNNNNNNNNNNNNNNNNNNNNNNNNNNNNNNNNNNNNNNNNNNNNNNNNNNNNNNNNNNNNNNNNNNNNNNNNNNNNNNNNNNNNNNNNNNNNNNNNNNNNNNNNNNNNNNNNNNNNNNNNNNNNNNNNNNNNNNNNNNNNNNNNNNNNNNNNNNNNNNNNNNNNNNNNNNNNNNNNNNNNNNNNNNNNNNNNNNNNNNNNNNNNNNNNNNNNNNNNNNNNNNNNNNNNNNNNNNNNNNNNNNNNNNNNNNNNNNNNNNNNNNNNNNNNNNNNNNNNNNNNNNNNNNNNNNNNNNNNNNNNNNNNNNNNNNNNNNNNNNNNNNNNNNNNNNNNNNNNNNNNNNNNNNNNNNNNNNNNNNNNNNNNNNNNNNNNNNNNNNNNNNNNNNNNNNNNNNNNNNNNNNNNNNNNNNNNNNNNNNNNNNNNNNNNNNNNNNNNNNNNNNNNNNNNNNNNNNNNNNNNNNNGAGAGAGAGAGAGAUGUGGACGCGGCGGCUGGGCUUUUUGACUUCACUGUACAUUCGGCAAAUUAUUUUGACGGGGAAGAUCGCGGGGGUGUCUAGCAUUCACCGUACAGCUGGAAAACAGGGAGCUUCUCACUAUGAACACAGAGAGAGGACAAUCUGGUCCUAGUUGAGGAAGAACCCUAAUCCGGAGCAUCAGAUGGGCACGGCCAUGGCGGGGGCUGGUGACCCUUAUUCUAAACAUAACGCGUUCGACAGAGCGGAGAGCCCG